GGACGGAGAAGGCUAUGUUGGCCGGGCGACGGUUGUCCCGGUUUAAGCGUGUAGGUGUGUGUUCCAGGUAAAUCCGGUUCACUUUAACACUGAGGCGUGAUGACGAGGCACUACGGUGCUGAAGCAACAAAUGCCCUGCUUCCAGGAAAAGCCUCUAAGCAUCAGGUAACAUCAAAUCGUACCCCAAACCGACACAGGUGGUCAGGUAGAGAAUACCAAGGCGCUUGAGAGAACUCGGGUGAAGGAACUAGGCAAAAUGGUGCCGUAACUUCGGGAGAAGGCACGCUGACAC
This 292-nucleotide ribosomal RNA is filed under the name Salmonella enterica. RNAcentral describes it as "partial 23S ribosomal RNA". It matches the Rfam family "Bacterial large subunit ribosomal RNA", at positions 1470 to 1757 of the family's 2925-position model. Lineage: Bacteria; Pseudomonadati; Pseudomonadota; Gammaproteobacteria; Enterobacterales; Enterobacteriaceae. The record is from RNAcentral. RNAcentral also lists the same sequence under 1 other name.